This 675-nucleotide ribosomal RNA is filed under the name Triticum aestivum (bread wheat). RNAcentral's name for it is "partial small subunit ribosomal RNA". Lineage: Eukaryota; Viridiplantae; Streptophyta; Magnoliopsida; Poales; Poaceae. The record is from RNAcentral.
AUGACAGGUCUUGAAAGAUGGAACCAAUUAGUAGAAAUGGUUAGAAAAACUCAGUUACGGGAUGAGAAUGACACCCCCAUUUGGUCUUUGGAGACUAACGGGGUGUACUCAGUCAAGUCUCUUUAUAAGCAGAUCAAUUUUGGGGGGAUAAUUUCGGCUGUAGAUGACAAACUAUGGAAAGUUCCAUGCCCUCAAAAAAUCCAUGUCUUUCUUUGGCUGGGGGUUUACAACAAGAUUCUUACUCGUGAUAAUUUAGCCAAAAGGAGACAUGUUGAUGACAUGACUUGCCUUUUUUGCAAUGAGAAUGAAACGGUGCAACAUUUGCUGUUUGAUUGUAUUGUUGCAAAAAUAGUUUGGGAAGUUGUCUCUGUCUGUUUUGAAUGCCCUUUCUUUACCAGUUUUUGUGAUGUUAUUGCUUUGUGGCAAAAAUGUAAAAAGAAGCCUGUGCUGAACUUGGUAGUGGCUGCAUCCUUAUGGAGCCUUUGGAAACUAAGAAAUGAAUUCUGCUUGCAGGGCCGCACUUGGAGAAAUGCUGCAUGUGUUCUUGUGAAACUAAGGUCUCAUCUACAGCAAUGGAAAGUGCUCUGCCACGACACUCAAGCUGUGUUGCUACAAAGAUGUAUUCUUCUGCUGGACAAAAAGCGCAGGGAGCUGAUGUGGAUUGCCUGGAGAUGA